CAAAAGCUUGGUCCUGGCUUUACUGUCAUCUUUAGCCAAAUUUACACAUGCAAGUCUCCGCACCCCCGUGAGGAUGCCCUCAACCUCCCAACCGAAAUAGAGGAGCCGACAUCAGGCACGCAUACUAAACCAGCAGCCCAAGACGUCUUGCUCAGCCACACCCCCAAGGGUAUUCAGCAGUGAUAGACAUUAAGCAAUGAGUGGAAACUCGACUUAGUUAAGGCUAACAGGGCCGGUCAACCUCGUGCCAGCCGCCGCGGUUAUACGAAGGACCCAAGUUGACAGACACCGGCGUAAAGAGUGGUUAUGGAUCAAAUUUACUAAAGUCGAACACCCCCCACACUGUUAUACGCACCCGGGGAAAUGGAAGCCCUACCACGAAAGUGACUUUAACACCCCUCCUGAACCCACGACAACCAUGAAACAAACUGGGAUUAGAUACCCCACUAUGCUUGGUCGUAAACUUCGAUAGUGCUUUACCUCCACUAUCCGCCUGGGAAUUACGAGCAACGCUUAAAACCCAAAGGACUUGGCGGUGCUUCAGACCCACCUAGAGGAGCCUGUUCUAGAACCGAUAUUCCCCGUUCAACCUCACCACCUCUGGCCAAUCCCGCCUAUAUACCGCCGUCGUCAGCUUACCCCCUGAAGGCCUCAUAGUAAGCAAAACGGGCACAGCCCCUGACGUCAGGUCGAGGUGUAGCGCAUGGGGUGGGAAGUAAUGGGCUACAUUCUCUACCUUAGAGUACACGAAAGGAUCCGUGGAUGAAACUCCCUCCUGAAGGCGGAUUUAGCAGUAAGAAGAAAAAAUGAGCGUUUUUCUGAAGCUGGCUCUGAAGCGCGCACACACCGCCCGUCACUCUCCCCCAAAAAACACACCAAAUUUAUAAAAAGAAUUAACAACAAGGGGAGGCAAGUCGUAACACGGUAAGUGUACCGGAAGGUGCACUUGGACAAA
This 955-nucleotide non-coding RNA is filed under the name Parasudis truculenta (longnose greeneye). RNAcentral describes it as "12S rRNA". It matches the Rfam family "Bacterial small subunit ribosomal RNA". Lineage: Eukaryota; Metazoa; Chordata; Actinopteri; Aulopiformes; Chlorophthalmidae. The record is from RNAcentral.